GUGCCAGCAGCCGCGGUAAUACAGAGGUCUCAAGCGUUGUUCGGAUUCAUUGGGCGUAAAGGGUGCGUAGGCUGUGGGGUAAGUCUGGUGUGAAAUCCCGGGGCUCAACCCCGGAACUGCACUGGAUACUGCUUUACUAGAGCACUGGAGAGGGAACUGGAAUUUACGGUGUAGCAGUGAAAUGCGUAGAUAUCGUAAGGAAGACCAGUGGCGAAGGCGAGUUCCUGGACAGUUGCUGACGCUGAGGCACGAAGGCCAGGGGAGCAAACGGGAUUAGAUACCCCUGUAGUCC
Molecule: ribosomal RNA, 292 nt
Filed under: uncultured bacterium
Lineage: Bacteria
Description: partial 16S ribosomal RNA
Rfam family: Bacterial small subunit ribosomal RNA
Source: RNAcentral